This 468-nucleotide ribosomal RNA is filed under the name uncultured bacterium. RNAcentral's name for it is "partial 16S ribosomal RNA". It matches the Rfam family "Bacterial small subunit ribosomal RNA", at positions 28 to 507 of the family's 1533-position model. The record is from RNAcentral.
GACGAACGCUGGCGGCGUGCUUAACACAUGCAAGUCGAACGGAAAGGCCCUGCUUUUGUGGGGUGCUCGAGUGGCGAACGGGUGAGUAACACGUGAGUAACCUGCCCUUGACUUUGGGAUAACUUCAGGAAACUGGGGCUAAUACCGGAUAGGAGCUCCUGCUGCAUGGUGGGGGUUGGAAAGUUUCGGCGGUUGGGGAUGGACUCGCGGCUUAUCAGCUUGUUGGUGGGGUAGUGGCUUACCAAGGCUUUGACGGGUAGCCGGCCUGAGAGGGUGACCGGCCACAUUGGGACUGAGAGACGGCCCAGACUGCUACGGGAGGCAGCAGGGGGGAAUAUGGCACAAUGGGCGGAAGCCUGAUGCAGCAACGCCGCGUGCGGGAUGACGGCCUUCGGGUUGUAAACCGCUUUCGCCUGUGACGAAGCGUGAGUGACGGUAAUGGGUAAAGAAGCACCGGCUAACUACGUG